This 589-nucleotide ribosomal RNA is filed under the name Pseudoalteromonas ruthenica. Its description in RNAcentral is "bacterial SSU rRNA". It matches the Rfam family "Bacterial small subunit ribosomal RNA", at positions 137 to 787 of the family's 1533-position model. The record is from RNAcentral. Lineage: Bacteria; Pseudomonadati; Pseudomonadota; Gammaproteobacteria; Alteromonadales; Pseudoalteromonadaceae.
UGGGGGACAACCGUUGGAAACGACGGCUAAUACCGCAUAAUGUCUACGGACCAAAGGGGGCUUCGGCUCUCGCCUUUAGAUUGGCCCAAGUGGGAUUAGCUAGUUGGUGAGGUAAUGGCUCACCAAGGCGACGAUCCCUAGCUGGUUUGAGAGGAUGAUCAGCCACACUGGGACUGAGACAUGCAGCCAUGCCGCGUGUGUGAAGAAGGCCUUCGGGUUGUAAAGCACUUUCAGCAAGGAGGAAAGGUUAGUAGUUAAUACCUGCUAUCUGUGACGUUACUUGCAGAAGAAGCACCGGCUAACUCCGUGCCAGCAGCCGCGGUAAUACGGAGGGUGCGAGCGUUAAUCGGAAUUACUGGGCGUAAAGCGUACGCAGGCGGUUUGUUAAGCGAGAUGUGAAAGCCCCGGGCUUAACCUGGGAACUGCAUUUCGAACUGGCAGGCUAGAGUGUGAUAGAGGGUGGUAGAAUUUCAGGUGUAGCGGUGAAAUGCGUAGAGAUCUGAAGGAAUACCGAUGGCGAAGGCAGCCACCUGGGUCAACACUGACGCUCAUGUACGAAAGCGUGGGGAGCAAACAGGAUUAGAUACCC